RNAcentral lists this ribosomal RNA (264 nucleotides) under uncultured Eubacteriales bacterium. Its description in RNAcentral is "uncultured Clostridiales bacterium partial 16S ribosomal RNA". It matches the Rfam family "Bacterial small subunit ribosomal RNA", at positions 73 to 339 of the family's 1533-position model. The record is from RNAcentral. Lineage: Bacteria; Bacillati; Bacillota; Clostridia; Eubacteriales.
AUUGAAGUUUUUGUGACUGAGUGGCGGACGGGUGAGUAACGCGUGGGUAACCUGCCUCAUACAGGGGGAUAACGGCUGGAAACGGUCGCUAAUACCGCAUGAUGUGUUCGGAUGGCAUCAUCUGAACAUCAAAGAUUUAUCGCUGAAAGAUGGGCUCGCGUCUGAUUAGAUAGUUGGUGGGGUAACGGCCUACCAAGUCUACGAUCAGUAGCCGGACUGAGAGGUUGAACGGCCACAUUGGGACUGAGAUACGGCCCAGACUCC